This 173-nucleotide ribosomal RNA is filed under the name uncultured bacterium. RNAcentral's name for it is "partial 16S ribosomal RNA". It matches the Rfam family "Bacterial small subunit ribosomal RNA", at positions 194 to 353 of the family's 1533-position model. The record is from RNAcentral.
CGCAAGACCAAAGAGGGGGACCUUCGGGCCUCUUGCCAUCGGAUGUGCCCAGAUGGGAUUAGCUAGUAGGUGAGGUAACGGCUCACCUAGGCGACGAUCCCUAGCUGGUCUGAGAGGAUGACCGGCCACACUGGAACUGAGACACGGUCCAGACUCCUACGGGAGGCAGCAUG